GUGCUCACUUCAGCAGCACAUGUACUAAAAUUGGAAUGACACAAAGAAGAUGAGCAUGGCCUCUUUACAAGGAUGACAUGUAAAUCCUUGAAGUCUUCCAUGUUUUU
This 107-nucleotide small nuclear RNA is filed under the name Phascolarctos cinereus (koala). The record is from RNAcentral. Lineage: Eukaryota; Metazoa; Chordata; Mammalia; Diprotodontia; Phascolarctidae.